This 77-nucleotide microRNA precursor is filed under the name Myotis lucifugus (little brown bat). RNAcentral describes it as "mir-9229 microRNA precursor family". It matches the Rfam family "mir-9229 microRNA precursor family". Lineage: Eukaryota; Metazoa; Chordata; Mammalia; Chiroptera; Vespertilionidae. The record is from Rfam by way of RNAcentral.
GAGACACUCUUAUGGAGUAGGACUUGCUUCAGUGGGACUUUGUGGCUCACUGAGUCUGCCCCUUAAGUGUGUCCGCU